This 62-nucleotide transfer RNA is filed under the name Processina sexmaculata. RNAcentral's name for it is "tRNA-Gly". The record is from RNAcentral. Lineage: Eukaryota; Metazoa; Arthropoda; Insecta; Hemiptera; Cicadellidae.
AUUCAAUUAGUAUAAAAAGUAUAAAAAGCUUCCAACUUUAAGGUUUAAUAAAAAAUUGAAUA